UACGAGUGCUCCAAGCGUUAUCCGGAAUUAUUGGGCAUAAAGGGUGCGUAGGCGGCUUGUUAAGUCAGGGGUGAAAGUUUUCGGCCCAACCGGAAAAUUGCCUUUGAUACUGGCGAGCUGGAGUGCGUGAGGGGUGACCGGAACGAGUGGUGUAGCGGUGAAAUGCGUAGAUAUCACUCGGAAGGCCAACGGCGAAGGCAGGUCACUGGUGCGCAACUGACGCUGAGGCACGAAAGCGUGGGGAGCAAACAGGA
This 254-nucleotide ribosomal RNA is filed under the name uncultured bacterium. Its description in RNAcentral is "partial 16S ribosomal RNA". It matches the Rfam family "Bacterial small subunit ribosomal RNA", at positions 524 to 777 of the family's 1533-position model. The record is from RNAcentral.